GGACACGUCCAUGCUUCUUAGC
This 22-nucleotide non-coding RNA is filed under the name Arabidopsis thaliana (thale cress). The record is from RNAcentral. Lineage: Eukaryota; Viridiplantae; Streptophyta; Magnoliopsida; Brassicales; Brassicaceae.